CCUACGGGUGGCUGCAGUCGAGAAUCAUUCACAAUGGGGGAAACCCUGAUGGUGCGACGCCGCGUGGGGGAAUGAAGGUCUUCGGAUUGUAAACCCCUGUCAUGUGGGAGCAAAUUAAAAAGAUAGUACCACAAGAGGAAGAGACGGCUAACUCUGUGCCAGCAGCCGCGGUCAUACGUAGGAUCCGAGCAUUAUCCGGAGUGACUGGGUGUAAAGAGUUGCGUAGGUGGCAUACUAAGUAGCUAGUGAAAUCUGGUGGCUCAACCAUUCAGACUGUUAGCUAAACUGUUAAGCUCGAGAGCAUGAGGGGUAAGUGGAAUUUCUAGUGUAGGAGUGAAAUGCGUAGAUAUUAGAAGGAACACCAAUAGCGUAGGCAGGUUACUGGGACGGUUCUGACACUAAGGCACGAAAGCGUAGGGAGCAAACGGGAUUAGAUACCCCAGUAGUC
RNAcentral lists this ribosomal RNA (448 nucleotides) under uncultured bacterium. RNAcentral describes it as "partial 16S ribosomal RNA". It matches the Rfam family "Bacterial small subunit ribosomal RNA", at positions 338 to 795 of the family's 1533-position model. The record is from RNAcentral.